GCGCAGCAGGCGAGAAAACUUUACAAUGUGCGAAAGCACGAUAAGGGAACUCUGAGUGCCUCCUAAGGAGGCUGUUCUGAUGUCUAAAAAGCAACAGAAGUAAGGGCUGGGUAAGACCGGUGCCAGCCGCCGCGGUAACACCGGCAGCCCAAGUGGUAGCCACGUUUAUUGGGUCUAAAGCGUUCGUAGCCGGCCGGGUAAGUUCCUUGGUAAAUUUAGCCGCUUAACGGUUAAGCUUUCAGGGAAUACUGCUUGGCUUGGGACUGGGAGAGGUCAGAGGUACUCCGGGGGUAGGGGUGAAAUCUAUUAAUCCCUGGGGGACCACCGGUAGCGAAGGCGUCUGACCAGACCAGGUCCGACGGUGAGGGACGAAGGCUAGGGGCGCGAACCGGAUUAGAUACCCCUGUAGU
This 410-nucleotide ribosomal RNA is filed under the name uncultured microorganism. RNAcentral's name for it is "bacterial SSU rRNA". It matches the Rfam family "Archaeal small subunit ribosomal RNA", at positions 330 to 745 of the family's 1478-position model. The record is from RNAcentral.